This 324-nucleotide ribosomal RNA is filed under the name uncultured bacterium. RNAcentral describes it as "bacterial SSU rRNA". It matches the Rfam family "Bacterial small subunit ribosomal RNA", at positions 28 to 349 of the family's 1533-position model. The record is from RNAcentral.
GACGAACGCUGGCGGCGUGCCUAACACAUGCAAGUCGAGCGGUAACAGGUGUAGCAAUACAUGCUGACGAGCGGCGGACGGGGUGAGUAACGCUUGGGAAUCUGCCUAUUAGUGGGGGGACAACCCGGGGAAACUCGGGCUAAUACCGCAUACGCUCUACGGAGGAAAGCCGGGGGACCGCAAGGCCUGGCGCUAAUAGAUGAGCCCAAGUCGGACUAGCUAGUUGGUAGGGGUAAUGGCCACCAAGGCGACGAUCCGUAACUGGUCUGAGAGGACGACCAGUCACACCGGAACUGAGACACGGUCCGGACUCCUACGGGAGGC